RNAcentral lists this ribosomal RNA (335 nucleotides) under Haptolina brevifila. Its description in RNAcentral is "partial Bacterial small subunit ribosomal RNA". It matches the Rfam family "Bacterial small subunit ribosomal RNA", at positions 24 to 354 of the family's 1533-position model. Lineage: Eukaryota; Haptophyta; Prymnesiales; Prymnesiaceae. The record is from RNAcentral.
UCAGAACGAACGCUGGCGGCAGGCUUAACACAUGCAAGUCGAGGGGUAACAGAGGUAGCUUGCUACUUGCUGACGACCGGCGCACGGGUGCGUAACGCGUAUACAAUCUACCUUAUACUGGGGAAUAGCCUUUGGAAACGAAGAUUAAUGCCCCAUAGUAUUAUUGAAUGGCAUCGUUUAAUAAUUAAAACUCCGGUGGUAUAAGAUGAGUAUGCGUUCUAUUAGUUAGUUGGUAAGGUAACGGCUUACCAAGACAUCGAUAGAUAGGGGUCCUGAGAGGGAGAUCCCCCACACUGGUACUGAGACACGGACCAGACUCCUACGGGAGGCAGCAG